GAGGGUGACUAUAAUUGCGGUGGAACUACCUCUUAACCAUUCCGAACAGAGAAGUAAAACCCGAAAAUGCCGAUGGUACUGCAAAGUUGUGGGAGAGUAGGCAGUUGCCCAUU
RNAcentral lists this ribosomal RNA (113 nucleotides) under Prevotella jejuni. Lineage: Bacteria; Pseudomonadati; Bacteroidota; Bacteroidia; Bacteroidales; Prevotellaceae. RNAcentral also lists the same sequence under 1 other name. The record is from RNAcentral.